GGGGAAUAUUGGACAAUGGGCGCAAGCCUGAUCCAGCAAUGCCGCGUGUGUGAAGAAGGUUUUCGGAUUGUAAAGCACUUUCGGCGGGGACGAUGAUGACGGUACCCGCAGAAGAAGCCCCGGCUAACUUCGUGCCAGCAGCCGCGGUAAUACGAAGGGGGCUAGCGUUGCUCGGAAUGACUGGGCGUAAAGGGCGCGUAGGCGGAUUGUACAGUCAGACGUGAAAUUCCUGGGCUCAACCUGGGGACUGCGUUUGAGACGUAUGAUCUUGAGUGAGGAAGAGGGUUGUGGAAUUCCCAGUGUAGAGGUGAAAUUCGUAGAUAUUGGGAAGAACACCGGUGGCGAAGGCGGCAACCUGGUCCUUGACUGACGCUGAGGCGCGAAAGCGUGGGGAGCAAACAGGA
Molecule: ribosomal RNA, 404 nt
Filed under: uncultured Acetobacteraceae bacterium
Lineage: Bacteria; Pseudomonadati; Pseudomonadota; Alphaproteobacteria; Acetobacterales; Acetobacteraceae
Description: bacterial SSU rRNA
Rfam family: Bacterial small subunit ribosomal RNA
Source: RNAcentral